Sapajus apella (tufted capuchin) is the source of this 1268-nucleotide long non-coding RNA. RefSeq lists it as uncharacterized. NCBI's taxonomy places the organism in Eukaryota, Metazoa, Chordata, Mammalia, Primates, Cebidae. The record is from RefSeq and is a predicted model, not a curated record. The transcript has 3 exons.
AUCCGCCUGCCUCGGCCUCCCAAAGUGCUGGGAUGACAGGUGUAAACCACCACGCCCACCACACUUUCCCUUUCUCUUACAAAGCACCCUGGCUUCUGGGAUUAUGGGCAUUAUUCUUGGCAUUGUUGCCCUGGUUGGGGCUGGGCCCUGGGUGUGGGGGGCUGCCUUGGCUACCUUGGCAACCCCACCUGGCCAGGGCUCCAGGUAGCCUCCAUCAGGGCAGUGCGUUGCCCCCAUCAGAGGUUUCAGGCCCUCCUUUCUUUCUAUCUCUCUGUUCCCACCCCAGAUCUCCAGGAGCCUCCCUUCCUAUCUCUCCCAAGGCAACUUCCUUUUUUUUAGGUCUCAGAAUGAACCUCUGUUUUUUGGGAGAAAAAACACAGGUUACCCAACUUAUGAUAAACUCAGUGUGUUUUCAAAUAGGAAAUUUUAAUUGUUCUCUGGGAGCCUAAACAAAAGGAUUUCCUAAGGCUUCCUGAGGAAGAGUCACAUCAGCUGAGCCUGGAAAGAUGAGCAGAGUUUAGGCGUGUUGAAGAAGCAUGACAAAUGAUUUAUUACAUUUGAAAGCUUUAAAUGCUUCCAGGAAUAACAAGAUCUACAGACAUGCAACAGAGUGACGCCACUGGAAAACAUUUGUCACACUUUUGUGGUUCUUCCUUCGCACUGAGCAGCUUCUUGUUUUAGGAUCCCAUCCAGAAUCCCACAUUAUAUUAGGUCUUCAUGUCUCCUUGGGAUCCUCUUGACUGUGACAUUUUCUCAGACUUUCCUUGUUUUUGAUGACCUUGACAGUUUUGAGGAGCACUUGUCAGGUACUUUGUAGAUUGCCCCUUAAGUGGAAUUUGCCUGAUGUUUUUCUCAUGAUUAGACUGGGGUACUGAAUUUCAGGAGGAAGAUCUUGGAGAUAAAGGGCCAUUCUCAUCAUAUCCUAUCAAGGGUACAUACUAUCAAUAUAAUUCUUUACUGUUGGUGUUGACCUUGAUCUCCAGGCUGGGGUAGUGUUUGCCAAGUUCAUGGACUCCUGAGUUACUCUUUUCUCCCUUUUCCCUUACUGAACUUUUGGAAGGAAGUCACUAUAUGCAGCUCACACUUAGAGAGUAGGAAGUUACAUUCUAUCUUUCUCAGAAUGGAAUAUUUACAGAAAAUAUUUGGACAUUUUCUGCACUAGAGAUUUAUCUAUUUGUUUACUUAUUCAGGCAUUCAUUUAUAUGAGUAUGGAUUCACAGAUAUUUCUCUUACACUUUGGAUUAUAAUCCAAAGCUACUUUAUUUGUU